GCUCAACCAUAAAUGACUUAGAAGAAAUAGAAUUAGAAAUUGCCAGAGAUAAGAAUAAAUUCGAUGAAUUGAUUGCCGUACUUUAUUUGACAGGAAGAGAACAAGUACAAAAAACGGUAUACGCAAUUUUAAAGAAAUUGUUGAUGAACCAAGUUACUGUAAAGUUUUCAGGGCAGGGAAGAAAAAGUAAACUGCCUUUUAAUGAGCUCACAGUUAAUAAGGCUGUAAUAUGCGCCACACGAAAACGCCACAAAAAUGCCACGGAUACAGAAAUAAAAAAAGCGGUAGGACUCUAUCUGGCUCAAGCAAAG
Zophobas morio is the source of this 311-nucleotide long non-coding RNA. RefSeq lists it as uncharacterized. Lineage: Eukaryota; Metazoa; Arthropoda; Insecta; Coleoptera; Tenebrionidae. The record is from RefSeq and is a predicted model, not a curated record. The transcript is spliced from 3 exons.